UACGUAGGUGGCAAGCGUUGUCCGGAUUUACUGGGCGUAAAGAGCGCGCAGGCGGUCCUUCAAGUCGCGUGUGAAAGCCCCCGGCUCAACUGGGGAGGGUCACGCGAUACUGAUCGACUCGAAGGCAGAAGAGGGAAGUGGAAUUCCCGGUGUAGUGGUGAAAUGCGUAGAUAUCGGGAGGAACACCAGUGGCGAAGGCGACUUCCUGGCCUGUUCUUGACGCUGAGGCGCGAAAGCUAGGGGAGCAAACGGG
RNAcentral lists this ribosomal RNA (253 nucleotides) under uncultured bacterium. Its description in RNAcentral is "partial 16S ribosomal RNA". It matches the Rfam family "Bacterial small subunit ribosomal RNA", at positions 524 to 776 of the family's 1533-position model. The record is from RNAcentral.